Non-coding RNA from Paramuricea clavata, 492 nucleotides. The record is from the annotation of a GenBank genome assembly. NCBI's taxonomy places the organism in Eukaryota, Metazoa, Cnidaria, Anthozoa, Malacalcyonacea, Plexauridae.
CCCGCUUAGUUCCGCGUUUAACUAUCCGUAGGAUAGCCUCUAUAAUUUAACCGGAGAAAACCGGAUUUUCUUGAAAUUUCUUACCUCUAUACGUGAGCUGUUGCUAGGCCUUUGUAAACUUUUGAAGCUUUAUCUAUAACUUGUGAAUUCCACUAAGCUUUUGCAAUAAAGUUUGUUGUUGUUUUUAUUUGGAGUUUGCUCGUCCAUUCGUUGCUGUAAAUCUAUAUCAAACUUUUCAUUUUCACAUUUUGCAGAGUUUCUCAUUCACUUAAAUUCACUACGGAUAUUUCUUUAAAGAUUUUUGGCUUCUUUACGAGAGGAGUCGAGGCAUGCAACAGCAAAAACUGUGAGUUGUAUUUGGCUUUUGUCAGUUGACUUAGUUUUAUACUGUUUGAAAUUUGUUCUUCGACCUUGCACUUUUAUUCAAAACAAUUUUAAGAACAUUUUGAAAGGCUGGUAUGGAUAAAAAUGAAGCCCUAAAGAAGAAUAAAG